RNAcentral lists this ribosomal RNA (294 nucleotides) under uncultured bacterium. RNAcentral's name for it is "partial 16S ribosomal RNA". It matches the Rfam family "Bacterial small subunit ribosomal RNA", at positions 773 to 1060 of the family's 1533-position model. The record is from RNAcentral.
GUGGAUUAGAUACCCGGGUAGUCCACGCCGUAAACGAUGGAUACUAAGCAUUGGCAGUAUCGACCCUGCCAGUGCUGUUAAUUUAAGGUAACCCGUUAAGUAUCCCGCCUGGGGAGUACGAGCGCAAGCUUAAAACUCAAAGGAAUAGACGGGGACCCGCACAAGCGGUGGAGCAUGUGGUUUAAUUCGACGGUAAACGAGGAACCUCACCAAGGCUUGACAUCUAGCUGCAAGGUCUGGAAACAGAGCCGCCUUCGAGGGUGCUAGACAGAUGCUGCACGGUUGUCGUCAGCU